UGGGACGUAGCCAAGCGGUAAGGCAGCGGAUUUUGAUUCCGCCAUGCGGAGGUUCGAAUCCUCCCGUCCCAG
RNAcentral lists this transfer RNA (72 nucleotides) under Acidocella aminolytica 101 = DSM 11237. It matches the Rfam family "tRNA". Rfam says of the family: Transfer RNA (tRNA) molecules are approximately 80 nucleotides in length. Their secondary structure includes four short double-helical elements and three loops (D, anti-codon, and T loops). Further hydrogen bonds mediate the characteristic L-shaped molecular structure. tRNAs have two regions of fundamental functional importance: the anti-codon, which is responsible for specific mRNA codon recognition, and the 3' end, to which the tRNAs corresponding amino acid is attached (by aminoacyl-tRNA synthetases). tRNAs cope with the degeneracy of the genetic code in two manners: having more than one tRNA (with a specific anti-codon) for a particular amino acid; and 'wobble' base-pairing, i.e. permitting non-standard base-pairing at the 3rd anti-codon position. Lineage: Bacteria; Pseudomonadati; Pseudomonadota; Alphaproteobacteria; Acetobacterales; Acidocellaceae. The record is from Rfam by way of RNAcentral.